CGGGCUUUCAUGGGGCAAAUAUUAAAUAUUUUUGUUUAUGUCUAAGAGCAACAGAGAGCCAUUUAAAUGUUUUAAUGAAGGGCAUGGUCUCAUGAUCACACUUAAACUUGAGAAUUCUGAAUGCAGAAAUGGAGAAUCCACUGGAAGAGGGAAAAGUGGAUUCAGGAGACUAACUAAUAUUCCAGAAGAUAGAUGGAGAUAUUUUAAUAUUUCAACAAUCAGGAUGCAUCUUGAAGUGAAUAUCAUCAGGAACUUUACAGCUACCAGUAAGAAGACAAAAAUGAUUUUAGCCUAAUUCUUCUUAAUAAAUGGCAAUUUUUUGAAGUCUGAGACAGACAGGUGUGAACUAUUCAUGCUUCCAAAUAAUCACCAGAAUCUUGCAAGAAUAUGUAAUAAAAUUUGGAAAUACAGGGGAAGGGGAGGGCGAUACAGGUUUAACCGAAUUUAAAGAGCAAUACACACAAAUCC
This 468-nucleotide long non-coding RNA is filed under the name Equus caballus (horse). RNAcentral describes it as "lncRNA (ENSECAG00000056915.1)". The record is from RNAcentral. Lineage: Eukaryota; Metazoa; Chordata; Mammalia; Perissodactyla; Equidae.